AGCAGUCGCCGCGGGAAUACGUAGGGGGCGAGCGUUAUUCGGAAUUAUUGGGCGUAAAGCGCUCGUAGGCGGGAUCGAUAGUCCGUGAAGAAAGACCUGGGCUCAACUCAGGGAACGGCACGGAUACUUCGAUUCUUGAAGCAAUCAGAGGGUGAUGGAAUUCCCGGUGGAGCGGUGAAAUGCGUUGAGAUCGGAAAGAACACCAAUGGCGAAAGCACUCUGCUGGGCCGACACUAACACUGAGAGACGAAAGCUAGGGGAGCAAAUGGGAUUAGAUACCCCGGUAGUCCCUGUCUCUUAUAC
RNAcentral lists this ribosomal RNA (303 nucleotides) under uncultured bacterium. RNAcentral describes it as "partial 16S ribosomal RNA". It matches the Rfam family "Bacterial small subunit ribosomal RNA", at positions 507 to 807 of the family's 1533-position model. The record is from RNAcentral.